RNAcentral lists this ribosomal RNA (253 nucleotides) under uncultured bacterium. Its description in RNAcentral is "partial 16S ribosomal RNA". It matches the Rfam family "Bacterial small subunit ribosomal RNA", at positions 524 to 776 of the family's 1533-position model. The record is from RNAcentral.
UACGAAGGGUGCAAGCGUUGUCCGGAAUUAUUGGGCGUAAAGAGCUCGUAGGCGGUCUGUCACGUCGGCUGUGAAAACCCGAGGCUCAACCUCGGGCCUGCAGUCGAUACGGGCAGACUAGAGUUCGGUAGGGGAGACUGGAAUUCCUGGUGUAGCGGUGAAAUGCGCAGAUAUCAGGAGGAACACCGGUGGCGAAGGCGGGUCUCUGGGCCGAAACUGACGCUGAGGAGCGAAAGCAAGGGGAGCAAACAGG